AGGAUAAACGCUGGCGGCGUGCUUUAAGCAUGCAAGUCGCACGGAUGCUCGCAAGAGUGUGAGUGGCAGACGGCUGAGGAAGACGGAAGGAACCUGCCCUUCAGAGGGGGAUAACUCCGCGAAAGCGGGGCUAAGACCGCGUACGCUCACCCUGGGGAGAUCAGGGUGAGGAAAACCGCAAGGUGCUGAGGGAGGGGCUUCCGGCCCAUCAGGUAGUUGGUGUGGGUAAAGGCCCACCAAGCCGAUGACGGGUCGCUGGUCUCAGAGGAUGAUCAGCCAGACUGGGACUGAGACACGGCCCAGACUCCUACGGGAGGCAGCAGCUAGGAAUCUUGCGCAAUGGGCGAAAGCCUGACGCAGCGACGCCGCGUGGGGAUGACGGUUUCGGAUUGUAAACCCCUUUUCGGUGGGACGAGAAUGGACGGUACCAUCGGAAGAAGCCCCGGCUAACUACGCGCCAGCAGCCGC
RNAcentral lists this ribosomal RNA (468 nucleotides) under uncultured bacterium. Its description in RNAcentral is "SSU rRNA". It matches the Rfam family "Bacterial small subunit ribosomal RNA", at positions 26 to 518 of the family's 1533-position model. The record is from RNAcentral.